UCAUAGAUUUAAGCCAUGCAAGUGUUAGUUCAGGUAACGAAACUGCGAAUAGCUCAUUAAUACGCUCAGAAUCUAUUGGCGGCGACCAACAGGUCUUAAAUGGAUAGCAGCAGCAACUCUGGUGCUAAUACAUGCGAUUGUUUCUCCAGAUGUGAAUUAUGGAGGAAAAGUUGACCUCAUCAGAGGCACGCCAUUCGACUGAGUGACCUAUCAGCUUGUACUUAGGGUCUUUACCUAGGUAGGCUAUCACGGGUAACGGGCGGUUACCGUCGGACUGCCGGAGAAGGCGCCUGAGAGAUAGCGACUAUAUCCACGGGUAGCAGCAGGCGCGAAACUUUCCCACUCGAGACUUUCGGAGGAGGUAAUGACCAGUUCCAUUGGUGCCUUUUGGUACUGUGGAUAGGGGUACGGUUUUCCACCGUACCGAAACCUAGCAGAGGGCCAGUCUGGUGCCAGCAGCUGCGGUAAUUCCAGCUCUGCGAGUUUGCUCCCAUAUUGUUGCAGUUAAAACGCCCGUAGUCUGAAUUGGCCAGCAAUGGUCGUACGUAUUUUUACGUUCACUGUGAACAAAUCAGGACGCUUAGAGUAUGGCCACAUGAAUGACUCAGCGCAGUAUGAAGUCUUUGUUUUCUUCCGAAAACAAGCUCAAUGAGAGCCAUCGGGGGUAGAUCUAUCUCAUGACGAGUGGUGGAAUACUUUGACUCAUGAGAGAGAAGCUGAGGCGAAGGCGUCUACCUAGAGGGUUUCUGUCGAUCAAGGGCGAGAGUAGGAGUAUCCAACAGGAUUAGAGACCCUGGUAGUUCCUACCUUAAACGAUGCCGACAGGAGUUUGUCAUUUGUUAAUGGCAGAAUCUUUGGAGAAAUCAUAGUUCUUGGGCUCUGGGGGAACUACGACCGCAAGGCUGAAACUUGAAGGAAUUGACGGAAGGGCACACCAGGGGUGGAGCCUGUGGCUUAAUUUGAAUCAACACGGGGAAACUUACCAGGACCAGAUGUUUUUUAUGACUGACAGGCUUCGGGUCUUUCAGGAUAUUGUUUUUGGUGGUGCAUGGCCGUUGGUGGUGCGUGGGUG
RNAcentral lists this non-coding RNA (1072 nucleotides) under Trichomonas vaginalis G3. RNAcentral's name for it is "Eukaryotic small subunit ribosomal RNA". It matches the Rfam family "Eukaryotic small subunit ribosomal RNA", at positions 37 to 1307 of the family's 1831-position model. The record is from Rfam by way of RNAcentral. Lineage: Eukaryota; Parabasalia; Trichomonadida; Trichomonadidae.